This 67-nucleotide transfer RNA is filed under the name Alleculinae sp. BMNH 1042437. RNAcentral's name for it is "tRNA-Ser". The record is from RNAcentral. Lineage: Eukaryota; Metazoa; Arthropoda; Insecta; Coleoptera; Tenebrionidae.
AACUAAUGAACUUGAAUAAGUUUGUACUUUGAAAGUACAAGAAAGAAAUAGAACUUUCUAUUAGUUU